Molecule: ribosomal RNA, 821 nt
Filed under: uncultured bacterium
Lineage: Bacteria
Description: bacterial SSU rRNA
Rfam family: Bacterial small subunit ribosomal RNA
Source: RNAcentral
UGGAAACUNUCUGACUUGAGUGCAGAAGGGGAGAGUGGAAUUCCAUGUGUAGCGGUGAAAUGCGUAGAUAUAUGGAGGANCACCAGUGGCGAAAGCGGCUNUCUGGUCUGUCACUGACGCUGAGGCUCGAAAGCGUGGGUAGCGAACAGGAUUAGAUACCCUGGUAGUNCACGCCGUAAACGAUGAGUGCUAGGUGUUAGGCCCUUUCCGGGGCUUAGUGCCGGAGCUAACGCAAUAAGCACUCCGCCUGGGGAGUACGACCGCAAGGUUGAAACUCAAAGGAAUUGACGGGGGCCCGCACAAGCGGUGGAGCAUGUGGUUUAAUUCGAAGCAACGCGAAGAACCUUACCAGGUCUUGACAUCCCGAUGCUAUUCUUAGAGAUAGGAAGUUACUUCGGUACAUCGGAGACAGGUGGUGCAUGGUUGUCGUCAGCUCGUGUCGUGAGAUGUUGGGUUAAGUCCCGCAACGAGCGCAACCCUUAUUGUUAGUUGCCAUCAUUAAGUUGGGCACUCUAGCGAGACUGCCGGUAAUAAACCGGAGGAAGGUGGGGAUGACGUCAAAUCAUCAUGCCCCUUAUGACCUGGGCUACACACGUGCUACAAUGGUCGGUACAACGAGUUGCGAGCCGGUGACGGCAAGCUAGUCUCUGAAAGCCGAUCUCAGUUCGGAUUGGAGGCUGCAACUCGCCUCCAUGAAGUCGGAAUCGCUAGUAAUCGCGGAUCAGCACGCCGCGGUGAAUACGUUCCCGGGCCUUGUACACACCGCCCGUCACACCACGAGAGUUUGUAACACCCGAAGUCGGUGAGGUANCCUUUUAGGG